AGGUAAGCUACUAAGAGCGAAUGGUGGAUGCCUUGACUGGUAAAGGCGAUGAAGGACGUACUAGACUGCGAUAAGCUACGGGGAGCUGUCAAGAAGCUUUGAUCCGUAGAUUUCCGAAUGGGGCAACCCAAUGUAUAGAGAUAUACAUUACCUAUAUAGGAGCGAACGAGGGGAAUUGAAACAUCUUAGUACCCUCAGGAAAAGAAAUCAAUAGAGAUUGCGUCAGUAGCGGCGAGCGAAAGCGCAAGAGGGCAAACCCAGUGCUUGCACUGGGGGUUGUAGGACUGCAAUGUGCAAGAGGUAAGUUUAGCAGAACAUUCUGGAAAGUAUAACCAUAGAGGGUGAUAGUCCCGUAUGCGAAAAACAAACCUUAGCUAGCAGUAUCCUGAGUAGGGCGGGACACGAGGAAUCCUGUCUGAAUCCGGGUCGACCACGAUCCAACCCUAAAUACUAAUACCAGAUCGAUAGUGCACAAGUACCGUGAGGGAAAGGUGAAAAGAACUGAGGUGAUCAGAGUGAAAUAGAACCUGAAACCAUUUGCUUACAAUCAUUCAGAGCCCUAUGUAGCAAUACAGGGUGAUGGACUGCCUUUUGCAUAAUGAGCCUGCGAGUUGUGGUGUCUGGCAAGGUUAAGCAAACGCGAAGCCGUAGCGAAAGCGAGUCUGAAUAGGGCGCUUAGUCAGAUGCUGCAGACCCGAAACGAAGUGAUCUAUCCAUGAGCAAGUUGAAGCUAGUGUAAGAACUAGUGGAGGACUGAACCCAUAGGCGUUGAAAAGCCCCGGGAUGACUUGUGGAUAGGGGUGAAAGGCCAAUCAAACUUCGUGAUAGCUGGUUCUCUCCGAAAUAUAUUUAGGUAUAGCGUUGUGUCGUAAUAUAAGGGGGUAGAGCACUGAAUGGGCUAGGGCAUACACCAAUGUACCAAACCCUAUCAAACUCCGAAUACCUUAUAUGUAAUCACAGCAGUCAGGCGGCGAGUGAUAAAAUCCGUCGUCAAGAGGGAAACAACCCAGACUACCAGCUAAGGUCCCUAAGUCUUACUUAAGUGGAAAACGAUGUGAAGUUACUUAAACAACCAGGAGGUUGGCUUAGAAGCAGCCAUCCUUUAAAGAAAGCGUAAUAGCUCACUGGUCUAGUGAUUUUGCGCGGAAAAUAUAACGGGGCUAAAGUAAGUACCGAAGCUGUAGACUUAGUUUACUAAGUGGUAGGAGAGCGUUCUAUUUGCGUCGAAGGUAUACCGGUAAGGAGUGCUGGAGCGAAUAGAAGUGAGCAUGCAGGCAUGAGUAGCGAUAAUUAAUGUGAGAAUCAUUAACGCCGUAAACCCAAGGUUUCCUACGCGAUGCUCGUCAUCGUAGGGUUAGUCGGGUCCUAAGUCGAGUCCGAAAGGGGUAGACGAUGGCAAAUUGGUUAAUAUUCCAAUACCAACAUUAGUGUGCGAUGGAAGGACGCUUAGGGCUAAGGGGGCUAGCGGAUGGAAGUGCUAGUCUAAGGUCGUAGGAGGUUAUACAGGCAAAUCCGUAUAA
This 1520-nucleotide ribosomal RNA is filed under the name Campylobacter jejuni. Its description in RNAcentral is "partial 23S ribosomal RNA". It matches the Rfam family "Bacterial large subunit ribosomal RNA", at positions 1 to 1549 of the family's 2925-position model. Lineage: Bacteria; Pseudomonadati; Campylobacterota; Epsilonproteobacteria; Campylobacterales; Campylobacteraceae. The record is from RNAcentral.